This 97-nucleotide microRNA precursor is filed under the name Nicotiana sylvestris (wood tobacco). RNAcentral's name for it is "MIR6152 microRNA precursor family". It matches the Rfam family "MIR6152 microRNA precursor family". The record is from Rfam by way of RNAcentral. Lineage: Eukaryota; Viridiplantae; Streptophyta; Magnoliopsida; Solanales; Solanaceae.
UGGACAGAUUAUUGUAUUCGACUGUAUUCACGGCGUGAAACAUGAGAUUACACUGUUUUUAAAACGGAAAGUGAAUCAAUUAACAUAAUAGACUCCU